UCUCUCCUAAUGCCCUAACUCUCAAUACGAGCCAUUAUCUUGAAUCACCGCCAAUACUCUGCAUCUGAUAUCGCCGAUUCUGCCGAUACUCUGCAUCUGAUAUUGCCGAUUCUUUGUCGCCGAUGAACGCCUCCAUGACAUCUAACAGUGGCCUCACCUAUAAUAAUCUUCCAGGUUCUAGAAAGCGUUAUAGAGAUUUAGUUAAUCCGUUGCUUGAAUAUUCGUUUCAGUCGAAUAGUCGAAUAACCGUUGUUGUUCUUUCACGUUUAUCGGUGAGGACAUUUCGUUACAGAUCCAACAAGUACCGUUACAGAUUGAACAAUUCAUUUCUCAACAUGUGCAUCUCCUUUCUUCUUCUUCUAUUUCUUUAUUCAAUCAUUGUUGAUUUUAGAUUUGAAUUGAACAUGUGCACCGUAAAAUGUAGACGAAAAAAAAGAAAAUCGAGGUUCAAUUUAAGAGUACUUUGAUGAUUUGUUCCUAAUUAUGUUUGUUCGUUUUGUUUUGAUUCAUAUUCUUCGAUUUUAAUUUGACGAAAUACAUUGUGGUUUGAGUUACAGCAACUAGAACCUUGUUGAAGGGCAGAACACUCUACACCUCCAUAUCCGCAAGCAUAGUCAAGAUCUAACAGAUAAAUGGUGGGAGCUUAUUGGCAUACGCAUAGUCACAGAAAAAUAGUGAAAAUUCUGUCAUUGUUGGGCUAGAUCAAAGUGAUCCGACAACGAAGAAGGAGAAAUUCGUGGUGUUGGAACUGGAUGGAGAUGUAAUAGUUUCUUAAAGGUUAUCGAUCCCUCUUACGACAUUCAGGUGGUGUCACAUCCUAAAGAUUAAACAUCGCAAAAAGAAAUAAAAAUUGUUUCUACUUUUUAUGGAGUUACUCUAGUAUUUUAUUAUACAAAUUUAUCUUUUAAUUUAGUUUAGUUGUCUUUUAAACUAUUAGAACAUUAUAAAAAAUUUGUAAUGUGUUAAUUAAUGUUUUUUAUUUGGUUAUAAUAUGAUUUUAUAA
Long non-coding RNA from Impatiens glandulifera, 1003 nucleotides. RefSeq lists it as uncharacterized. NCBI's taxonomy places the organism in Eukaryota, Viridiplantae, Streptophyta, Magnoliopsida, Ericales, Balsaminaceae. The record is from RefSeq and is a predicted model, not a curated record. The transcript is spliced from 2 exons.